This 277-nucleotide ribosomal RNA is filed under the name uncultured bacterium. RNAcentral's name for it is "partial 16S ribosomal RNA". It matches the Rfam family "Bacterial small subunit ribosomal RNA", at positions 28 to 305 of the family's 1533-position model. The record is from RNAcentral.
GACGAACGCUGGCGGCGUGCUUAACACAUGCAAGUCGAACGAGGUCCAUCCUUCGGGAGAAGACCUAGUGGCGAACGGGUGAGUAACACGUGAGCAACCUGCCCCGAAGACUGGGAUAACAGCGGGAAACCGCUGCUAAUACCGGAUACCCCCAUUGGACCACAUGGCCUGAUGAGGAAAUGAAUUUCGCUUCGGGAGGGGCUCGCGGCCUAUCAGCUUGUUGGUGGGGUAACGGCCUACCAAGGCGACGAUCGGUAGCUGGUCUGAGAGGAUGGUC